AGGAUGAUGGUAUUUUUUUGCUUCGCUCUGCUCGCAGGACAAUUGGCUGUGACCUACCAGUCCUAGAGGUCACCUACAAAUCCAGACUUUUAACC
This is a long non-coding RNA of Melanotaenia boesemani (Boeseman's rainbowfish), 95 nucleotides long. RefSeq lists it as uncharacterized. The transcript is spliced from 3 exons. The record is from RefSeq and is a predicted model, not a curated record. Lineage: Eukaryota; Metazoa; Chordata; Actinopteri; Atheriniformes; Melanotaeniidae.